This 355-nucleotide unclassified non-coding RNA is filed under the name soil metagenome. RNAcentral describes it as "partial contains 5.8S ribosomal RNA, internal transcribed spacer 2, and large subunit ribosomal RNA". The stretch from base 1 to 120 matches the Rfam family "5.8S ribosomal RNA", at positions 35 to 154 of the family's 154-position model. The record is from RNAcentral.
GAUGAAGAACGUAGUGAAAUGCGAUAAGUAAUGCGAAUUGCAGAAUUCAGUGAAUCAUCGAAUCUUUGAACGCACAUUGCGCCCGCUAGUAUUCUGGCGGGCAUGCCUGUCUGAGCGUCAUUUCAACCCUCGCCCCCGGCUUUUGCUGGGAGCGGUGUUGGGGAUCGGCCGCCCGUCACUGGGAGGCCGGCCCCGAAAUAGAGUGGCGACCACGCCGUGUGCUCCUCUGCGUAGUAGUAAAUCACCUCGCAGGCGGACAGCGGUGCGGCCUGCCGUAAAACCCCCAACUCUUUCUGGUUGACCACAGAUCAGGUAGGAAUACCCGCUGAACUUAAGCAUAUCAAUAAGCGGAGGA